GGGGUCAUAGCUCAGUUGGCCAGAGCGCACGGUUCACAUCCGUGAGGUCAAGAGUUCAAGUCUCUUUGUCCCCA
This 74-nucleotide transfer RNA is filed under the name Bacillota bacterium. RNAcentral's name for it is "tRNA-Val". It matches the Rfam family "tRNA". From Rfam's summary of the family: Transfer RNA (tRNA) molecules are approximately 80 nucleotides in length. Their secondary structure includes four short double-helical elements and three loops (D, anti-codon, and T loops). Further hydrogen bonds mediate the characteristic L-shaped molecular structure. tRNAs have two regions of fundamental functional importance: the anti-codon, which is responsible for specific mRNA codon recognition, and the 3' end, to which the tRNAs corresponding amino acid is attached (by aminoacyl-tRNA synthetases). tRNAs cope with the degeneracy of the genetic code in two manners: having more than one tRNA (with a specific anti-codon) for a particular amino acid; and 'wobble' base-pairing, i.e. permitting non-standard base-pairing at the 3rd anti-codon position. The record is from RNAcentral. Lineage: Bacteria; Bacillati; Bacillota.